GACGAACGCUGGCGGUGUGCUUCACACAUGCAAGUCGAACGAGGUAGCAAUACCUAGUGGCGGACGGGUGAGUAACGCGUGGGAAUCUGCCUUAAGAUGGGGGAUAACGAGCCGAAAGGCCCGCUAAUACCGCAUAUGCCGAAAGGUGAAAGGAGUAAUCCGUCUUAAGAUGAGCCCGCGUCCGAUUAGCUAGUUGGUAGGGUAAAGGCCUACCAAGGCGACGAUCGGUAGCUGGUCUGAGAGGAUGAUACAAGCCACAAUGGGACUGAGACACGGCCCAUACUCCUACGGGAGGCAGCAGUGGGAAUUUUACGCAAUGGGGGAAACCCUGACGUAGCGACACCGCGUGAGCGAAGAAGCCCCUUGGGGUGUAAAGCUCUGUCAGCUGGAACGAAAAAAAUGACGGUACCAGCAGAGGAAGCAUCGGCUAACUACGUG
RNAcentral lists this ribosomal RNA (438 nucleotides) under uncultured bacterium. RNAcentral describes it as "bacterial SSU rRNA". It matches the Rfam family "Bacterial small subunit ribosomal RNA", at positions 28 to 507 of the family's 1533-position model. The record is from RNAcentral.